GCAAGUCGAGGGGUAACAUUAGAGCUUGCUCUAGAUGACGACCGGCGCACGGGUGAGUAACGCGUACACGACCUACCGUUAAGAGGGGGAUAGCCUUGGGAAACUGAGAUUAAUACCCCAUAGUACUAUUGUUAUUAGAAGAUGAUAGUUAAAGUUCCGGCGCUUAAAGAUGGGUGUGCGUACGAUUAGCUAGUUGGUGAGGUAACGGCUCACCAAGUCUACGAUCUUUAGGGGGCGUGAGAGCGUGAGC
This 250-nucleotide ribosomal RNA is filed under the name uncultured bacterium. RNAcentral's name for it is "partial 16S ribosomal RNA". It matches the Rfam family "Bacterial small subunit ribosomal RNA", at positions 57 to 305 of the family's 1533-position model. The record is from RNAcentral.